AUGCCUCACNAUNNGUANANNUNNUNNNNNNCCCNCCCCAGAUUGAACGCUGGCGGCGCUGCUUAACGCAUGCAUGUUUGACUGCGGCNAAAGGCCCUUUCGGGGUGGUGGGGCGGCGAUUGGGUGAGUAACACGUGAGUAAUCUGCCCCUCACUCAGGGAUAACCGCGGGAAGCUGCGGCUAAUACUUGAUAUGACCACGUCUCGCAUGGGGUGUGGUGGAAAGCGUUUAGUGGUGAGGGAUGUGCUCGCGGCCUAUCAGCUUGUUGGUGAGGUAGUGGCUCACCAAGGCUUCGACGGGUAGCCGGCCUGAGAGGGUGACCGGCCACACUGGGACUGAGACACGGCCCAGACUCCUACGGGAGGCAGCAGUGGGGAAUAUUGGACAAUGGGCGAAAGCCUGAUCCAGCAACGCCGCGUGAGGGAUGACGGCCUUCGGGUUGUAAACCUCUUUCACCUCUGACGAAGCGCAAGUGACGGUAAGGGGAGAAGAAGGACCGGCCAACUACGUGCCAGCAGCCGCGGUAAUACGUAGGGUCCGAGCGUUGUCCGGAAUUAUUGGGCGUAAAGGGCUCGUAGGCGGUUUGUCGCGUCGGGAGUGAAAACCAGGUGCUUAACACCUGGCUUGCUUCCGAUACGGGCAGACUAGAGGUAUGCAGGGGAGAAUGGAAUUCCUGGUGUAGCGGUGAAAUGCGCAGAUAUCAGGAGGAACACCGGUGGCGAAGGCGGUUCUCUGGGCAUUACCUGACGCUGAGGAGCGAAAGUGUGGGGAGCGAACAGGAUUAGAUACCCUGUUUUUCCACACCGUAAACGUUGGGCGCUAGGUGUGGGAUCCGGGUUCCAUGGUUUCCGUGCCGCAGCUCANAAAAACGCAAAAUUAAGCGCCCCGGCUGGGGAGUAAUGGCCGCAAGGCUAAACAUAAANNNNNNNNNNNUUNGNNCCGGAUUUA
RNAcentral lists this ribosomal RNA (948 nucleotides) under Nocardioides alkalitolerans. RNAcentral describes it as "partial 16S ribosomal RNA". It matches the Rfam family "Bacterial small subunit ribosomal RNA", at positions 1 to 1363 of the family's 1533-position model. The record is from RNAcentral. Lineage: Bacteria; Bacillati; Actinomycetota; Actinomycetes; Propionibacteriales; Nocardioidaceae.